AAAUUGAAGAGUUUGAUCAUGGCUCAGAUUGAACGCUGGCGGCAGGCCUAACACAUGCAAGUCGAACGGUAACAGGAAGCAGCUUGCUGCUUUGCUGACGAGUGGCGGACGGGUGAGUAAUGUCUGGGAAACUGCCUGAUGGAGGGGGAUAACUACUGGAAACGGUGGCUAAUACCGCAUAACGUCGCAAGACCAAAGAGGGGGACCUUCGGGCCUCUUGCCAUCAGAUGUGCCCAGAUGGGAUUAGCUUGUUGGUGAGGUAACGGCUCACCAAGGCGACGAUCCCUAGCUGGUCUGAGAGGAUGACCAGCCACACUGGAACUGAGACACGGUCCAGACUCCUACGGGAGGCAGCAGUGGGGAAUAUUGCACAAUGGGCGCAAGCCUGAUGCAGCCAUGCCGCGUGUAUGAAGAAGGCCUUCGGGUUGUAAAGUACUUUCAGCGGGGAGGAAGGUGUUGUGGUUAAUAACCGCAGCAAUUGACGUUACCCGCAGAAGAAGCACCGGCUAACUCCGUGCCAGCAGCCGCGGUAAUACGGAGGGUGCAAGCGUUAAUCGGAAUUACUGGGCGUAAAGCGCACGCAGGCGGUCUGUCAAGUCGGAUGUGAAAUCCCCGGGCUCAACCUGGGAACUGCAUUCGAAACUGGCAGGCUUGAGUCUUGUAGAGGGGGGUAGAAUUCCAGGUGUAGCGGUGAAAUGCGUAGAGAUCUGGAGGAAUACCGGUGGCGAAGGCGGCCCCCUGGACAAAGACUGACGCUCAGGUGCGAAAGCGUGGGGAGCAAACAGGAUUAGAUACCCUGGUAGUCCACGCCGUAAACGAUGUCUACUUGGAGGUUGUGCCCUUGAGGCGUGGCUUCCGGAGCUAACGCGUUAAGUAGACCGCCUGGGGAGUACGGCCGCAAGGUUAAAACUCAAAUGAAUUGACGGGGGCCCGCACAAGCGGUGGAGCAUGUGGUUUAAUUCGAUGCAACGCGAAGAACCUUACCUGGUCUUGACAUCCACAGAACUUUCCAGAGAUGGAUUGGUGCCUUCGGGAACUGUGAGACAGGUGCUGCAUGGCUGUCGUCAGCUCGUGUUGUGAAAUGUUGGGUUAAGUCCCGCAACGAGCGCAACCCUUAUCCUUUGUUGCCAGCGGUCCGGCCGGGAACUCAAAGGAGACUGCCAGUGAUAAACUGGAGGAAGGUGGGGAUGACGUCAAGUCAUCAUGGCCCUUACGACCAGGGCUACACACGUGCUACAAUGGCGCAUACAAAGAGAAGCGACCUCGCGAGAGUAAGCGGACCUCAUAAAGUGCGUCGUAGUCCGGAUUGGAGUCUGCAACUCGACUCCAUGAAGUCGGAAUCGCUAGUAAUCGUGGAUCAGAAUGCCACGGUGAAUACGUUCCCGGGCCUUGUACACACCGCCCGUCACACCAUGGGAGUGGGUUGCAAAAGAAGUAGGUAGCUUAACCUUCGGGAGGGCGCUUACCACUUUGUGAUUCAUGACUGGGGUGAAGUCGUAACAAGGUAACCGUAGGGGAACCUGCGGUUGGAUCACCUCCUUA
Molecule: ribosomal RNA, 1542 nt
Filed under: Salmonella enterica
Lineage: Bacteria; Pseudomonadati; Pseudomonadota; Gammaproteobacteria; Enterobacterales; Enterobacteriaceae
Also listed under: 2 other names
Description: 16S ribosomal RNA
Rfam family: Bacterial small subunit ribosomal RNA
Source: RNAcentral